Long non-coding RNA from Nycticebus coucang (slow loris), 1335 nucleotides. RefSeq lists it as uncharacterized. NCBI's taxonomy places the organism in Eukaryota, Metazoa, Chordata, Mammalia, Primates, Lorisidae. The record is from RefSeq and is a predicted model, not a curated record. The transcript has 5 exons.
CCUCCCUAGGUUCCCCGCGAGCGGACCCCAGCGCGUGCCACGGGCUUUGUAGGAGGCUUCCAGCCUCGGCCCCGAACUUGGGCUGUCCCUGGCUGCCGCCGUGGUCUAGCUGCCCGUGCAAGGCGCCUCCGGGAAGCGGGUGCCGUUCGGCGCGCUAUCGUGCUUUUCUGCACCUGGAGCGGUGACCUCGCCUGCUUGCUGGGAUGGAAGCCUCGGCUCAGGGAACAUAUCGGGUCGCUCCGACUGUGGGGGCCAGAGAAUGGGAAUCGGCCAGACCUCGCCUGUCCCUGUCGUCCACCACAGGCUUCAGAAAUGCGAACUGCUCCUUUCACUUCCUCUAACCUGGAUGGGGAAACCGCCCGCCAAGCGAAGGCCAUUUUCCCAGCAACUGGGGCGGCCAGCUCUUAAUGCUCUUCGGGCGCCCUUGAAGCAUUUUCCGCCCUCUUGUGUGUUGAGUUUAUUCGGGUCCCGCAUAACGAAGUACUUGGUUCCUUCUGGAUCCUCGGGGUGCUACAGUGCUAACUUGCUCCUUUUGCUGUUUUGGAUUUCAGCAUUUCCUGUGUUCCAUCUGCAAGGAAUAUGUAGAAGAUCUGGCCCAGAUCCUUUGAGUUUCUAAAUUAACGAGAGCGAGCAGCAGAGUUCCCCGCUUUAAGGGAGAAAAUGUCACCCUUAGUGUUAUUGGACAGUCAUCCUACCAUCAUAUUGAGUCUUUUUGCAAAGUGGGUAUUCCUGUGAAAUCUAUGUUGAUCCUGAAAGAGAAAUUUAUAAAACACUGGAAAUGAAAAGAGGUGAAGAAAUUGCUCGGGGAGACCCAGCUUGGCAGGGCGGAACCCUCAUUUUAGGCCCAGCGUUCUCCUGAAUGAUAGGCUGCUAAACAGAAUUUAAAAAUACUGUUAAGCUGUGCAACUGAUGCAGCUCAAGACAGCAGCACCACAACCUGCUGCCUUGGCCCUGGGGUUAUUGACACUCCUGCUGGUAAAGGAACCAGCUUGCUGGAAGGGCGGGACACGUGCAGGGGAGAUGCUGGCGCCUUGCUGUCUCCUCCACCUGCACUUCUGACUGGUCAGUUUCAGGGAGGGUGCCUUGCUGUCUCCCCAGUGCACUUCUGACUGGUGGAUUUCCUGUCAGUUUCCAAGGCCUAAGAGUUCAUUGACAGCUGGCUGUAACUGACAAGACUGAAGCCCUAGCAGAACAACCCCCCCUGCCACUAUAUAAACCUCUGAGCAGAGAGCCAAAGGUCAGACCUCCAAGAGGGAGCAGGAGAGCUUGUUCCCCUCCUGGGUUCUCUCUGCCAGGAGGUUUGGUUUUUGUAGUUGUAAUUUUUGGUUUCUAUAA